Oreochromis aureus is the source of this 2293-nucleotide long non-coding RNA. The record is from Ensembl. NCBI's taxonomy places the organism in Eukaryota, Metazoa, Chordata, Actinopteri, Cichliformes, Cichlidae.
ACGCGUUCAAAAUAAUCUUUUAUUUUGAAAGUGUCAUUUGAUGCCCCGAUGGUUCAGAUUCUCUUCCGGUGUAAACAGAAAAACUACUUCUUACUUGUGCGUCAGCGGAGACGGAGGAGCGCGAUGUGGCCGCAGGGUUAGUUCAGAGAGAUUAAAGGCGAUCAGCUGGAUUUCCUUCAUGAUGAAGAUGAAGAUGUGUGUGCUGUUUGUGAUCCUCGCUUUCGUGUCCCAGCAUGCAUCAGGGGUGGAGGUGUUUGAGGCCGAGGAGUCUGUCCUGCUGCCCUGUAAGCUUGUUGUUCCUAAGGAUCAUGCAAUCGUGUGGAAACGUGAAGAUCUGACUUCUCAGAUCGUUCACGCCAUUGUGGAGGGAAAAGAUGAUCUUAGGAACCAAAACCCUCAUUACCGCAACCGAACAUCAAUGAGAGCCCUGCAGACUGGAGACCUCAGCCUCACUCUGAGGAACCCCACGUUCACUGACAGUGGGACCUACACCUGUGCCACCCGCAUCCAUGGAGAGGACAAGGAGAAAACUCAAGCCCAGCUGAAGGUCAAAGAACGUCCUGUCUGGCCCAAACUCCUCCCAGCUGUCCUGGUUCCUGUGCUUCUCCUCGGUGCUGUCAUUAUUUUCCUCCUGUAUCGUGUGACACAAAGAGAGAAGCUCAUAACAGUGGGUCAGCUGACACCACUGGAGGUGAUGGAGGGGGCGCCGUCUGUCCUGCUGCCCUACACACACACAUGCUGUCUGGGUGAGGUUCUCAAAGUGGAGUGGAUCUUUGUGACGAAUGAAAACAAGAUGGUGUGUGUGUUUGACAACGGUCAUAUCAAACAUGACCAACAACAUAAGGAUUACAGAGAGCGCGCAGAGAUGGAGUCAUUCCCACCCAAGGAGAAGAAGACAGACCAGCUGAAUCGGCCUGAAGUUGACCUCAGUCUGACCCUGAGGAACCCCGUCUGUGCAGAUGGAGGAGUUUACCUCUGCAUCAUCCACGACAAGGCUGUGAACACCAUGAAACUCAAGCUAGUGCCGCUCCUGGUCAGAGAGCCCCUGAUGACGACCAUUAGAGCUUCACUCGGGAGAGGCAACAGUGCGGCUUCCAAGCCUUUGCCUCCAUUUCGUGUGUCUAAAGAAAAGAAGAACGUUGGAGAAUCUCAUCUACUGAACAGUCAGCCAGUCUGAUGUGAUGAAGCUGGAGAUGAUGAAGAGGAGGCUGUCUGUCAGCUCGUUCUUCUCCAUGGAUGUAAAACAGGAAGCUCAGUGUAAAAGCUGAAGCUGUCUCUCUCAUGUAUGAACUAAAGAUGGAGCGUUGUUCUCCUCAGUUUCUUCUUCUGUCUGCUGCAGACUCUGCAUUGAUCACAUGAUCCAUCCGCUGUCUGCAUGUUAGUGGAUCAGCAUCAUGCAUGUUCAUGCAGCCCCUCUGUGAUCUUCACACUGAGCAUCAUCGUCGUCUGACUGUCAGAGAGGACCAAUCAGAGCUCAGCUCUUGGCUGUGUCUGCAGACUUACCACAGAUCAGCUCAAAGCUGUGUGUAACAUGUCCUCAGAGGUCAGCUAGAUCAGCUCAGUGUGACGCUCUCAGAGGAACCUUUAACUUCACUCACACGUCCACCUGAGAUCACAGGGAGGGUGGAGGUGUUCACCUGUGCUGCAGUGUUUUUAAAUAAAGCUUCUUUAGACUGUGUGUGUGUGUGUGUGUGUGUGUGUGCGUGUCUCCAAACAGGACUGCAAGGUUUGGGCAACCUGCCUGACUCAAUCAGGCGGGUUUUCCCAGCAUCCCUCUGGGAAAAGGUCAAAUACAUAUUAUGAGAGAUGCAAGUGGAGGGCACGCACACACACACACACACACACACACACACACACACACACACACACACACACAGAGUGACCACUCUAUCUGCAAUAUAUGAUGAGACUUAUUUAAACGAAUGUUAGGCAAUUAUUGCUAUUGCGUGCAAAAUGAAAGCACUGCGUUGUUUGUUUUAUUUGUUUUUUGGUCUUUUAUUUUGGAAAAUCGUUUGGGAAGUAAGAGGUUUUAGUCAAACCCAGCUGAGGAGCUAAUGUAAUUUUGCCAGUGUGUAGAAGUGCACAGCAGCUCACGUGUAACACUUAGCAGUGUCAUUGUUUUUCAUUUAAACAUAAAAAUAAAAAACUUUGUUGCUCAGACUCUGAAUGUGUAUUUUUAUGUGAGCAAACAUUUACUCUGACUCUCCUGGGGCCAUGCCGCACAUAGUGAGACGUCACUGCUGACAAAGCGUCUCAGCCCGCUCUCAGAAACUGGACUAUCAUGAAGUGGCGC